ACUUAGCCGUGAUUGAAAAGGAAAUCCUUGUUGUUUUGUCUUUAAAAAACAACAAGAUUGCAGAGUAAAGCGGGAAAUAGC
Molecule: small RNA, 81 nt
Filed under: Flavobacterium xinjiangense
Lineage: Bacteria; Pseudomonadati; Bacteroidota; Flavobacteriia; Flavobacteriales; Flavobacteriaceae
Description: Flavo-1 RNA
Rfam family: Flavo-1 RNA
Source: RNAcentral